Molecule: non-coding RNA, 71 nt
Organism: Phrynosoma platyrhinos (Desert horned lizard)
Lineage: Eukaryota; Metazoa; Chordata; Lepidosauria; Squamata; Phrynosomatidae
Source: the annotation of a GenBank genome assembly
GCCAGCAUGGCAUAGUGGUUGGAGCAUUGGAUUAGGACUCUGGAGACCAGGGUUUAAAUCCCUGCUUGGCC